Molecule: long non-coding RNA, 13564 nt
Filed under: Lathyrus oleraceus (garden pea)
Lineage: Eukaryota; Viridiplantae; Streptophyta; Magnoliopsida; Fabales; Fabaceae
Description: Pisum sativum (pea) long non-coding RNA (PSAT_LNC034366)
Source: RNAcentral
AAAGAAAUAAUAAAAAAAAAGUUGGCUUGUCUAUAUUGCCCCAAACAUGCUGGGAGGUGUAUGCAUUAAGGGAGGUGCAAGAAGCACAUGCUUGGUAUGAAGGGCCCUUUGGACUCAAUCAAGUUGAGAAUGAUGGAUUCAAGGCAUAAUACUCAUUUCCCACGUUCUCAAUUAAACUUUAAACACACUCCCUCUCCCUGACUAGCUCAACCGAAAAACCACCACCAUCGCACCAGAAAUCAUCUCUGGCGGUGGUGGAGCUCCAAUGAACCUCAAACUUGUAUCAAAACACUUGUUUCUUCUUCCUCUUCCAUAAUCCCUUAUCAAUUUUCGUCAAUUCUCAUUCCACAAUCCAAAUCAAAACCAAAUAUGUAAGAACCCUAGAUUUUUUAAUUAAAAUUAAAUGGCCAAUGAGGGGAAUCAAAGCAAGGGGCCUUAGGGCUUUGAUUCCCUUCAUUAUCCUCUACAUCUUGGUAUCAAGAUUUAAACAAAAGACAGAGAAAGGGAGAAGAUCAUCAACUUAUAAAUAUUGAAGAAUAUGAAAUUAAGGACGAAGGUAGAAAUAGACAUGAAGAUGAAACUGAUGUCGGUAUGCUACCAAGCCUCUGACUCUCCCUUCUUAUUCUCCUUUCAUUCUUUAUUUUUCUUCUCCUUCUUCCCUAGCUUGUCAGAUAUGUGUGAUGUUGCUUGUUGUUGUUAUUUGAGUGUUCUCUGCGUGCAUGUAUUGAUGCUCCAUGAAAGGUUGAAGGAGAGUCCUAAGAGAUGUAGAGAGAGUGAGGAGAGUGAAAUAAUAGAUUGAGUUGGUUUUUGGAGAGUUUUGUGUGUGCAAUGAUUGAAAAGUGAUUGGAUUCCUUGAUGAUUGCAAUGAUUGUUGGAUUUAUAGAGCUUUGAUCUAUAAUAGAUUUGGGCACCUUGGUUAGGGGUUAGGGCACAAUUAGUUCUGUUAAAUUUAUAAGUGUAAGGGUGGUUAGAUGUUAGCAAAGGUGUUAAGUUAGUUACCUAUUAGUUAGUUUUGUUAUUGUUAGCUUACAAGUUAGAUGCUUUGUUAAUUUCUGUUAAUUGAAUCAAAUUUAUUAACUGUGUAGUUUUGUUAAAUGGCUUUUCACUGUUAGACUUUAGUUAAAUCAGUUACUUGUUAAAUGGAAACCUGUUAGUUUUAUUUCUGUUAAAAAUUCGAAGUUAGUUCUUUAUUAGAGGUGUUAGUUUCUUCACACUCUUAAGUUUGCAGUUAGAUGAAGUUUGAAAUUAGCUUGAUUAGAAUGAUUACUAGUUGUGUGAAUGUUAGAAUUGGAUUUAAUCCAAUAUCACUAUUGCUUCUGAUUUGUUAUCCUCGUUCAUUGCUUAAGCUUGAAUGAAUUCAUUUGUUAGAUGAUGAACUGUUAGUAGAUGCAAACUGUUAACUUGUUAUGAUUCUCUUUACAGAAGUUUUGUUGGUUAACAUUCAGUUUGAAAAUUGGAUGGUGGGUUUUGUGAACUUUCCUAUGCUAGAAUUAGAAUUUUGGGACUAUUAGGUUGCAUUGAAGUUGUUGAUAUGUUAAUACGCAUGCUUGAUAUCCCAUAUUAGAACUUAUUGUGAUUGAGGGUUAACCAAGAAUUAUAGUUAGGAUCGGUGAGAUCAAUUUCCAUGUCAGAAUUAAUUCUAUAGUUGAAUUGGAGUGGAGUUAUUAUGUGCAAUUGAGCUAGCUUGUUAACAAAUGAUGGUUUGUGAACUCAUGAUUGAAUGCUUAAUUGAGUUAUGUUUUUAUUUAUUAUGGUUUUGAACUGUUUUUUACUAAUUGUGAUGCUUGUUAGGUUAAUGAACUUAUGAACAUAGUAUGGGUUAUGAAUGAUACGUUUGGAUAGAUGUGAACUUGUUUCUUGCAUGCUUGAGGAUGGUUUGAAUUGCCUUGGUGAUUGUUUAAAUAUGAAAUGAGUUGAAUGCUAACCUGACUUAGUGUAUGUUCUGUAUAGGUUUUGGUAAAUUUGUGCCUUGCUUGAAUAUGACUCUCUCUCUCUCUCUCUCUCUCUCUCUAUAUAUAUAUAUAUAUAUAUUAUAUAUAUAUAUUAUAUUUGAAUUUCAUAGAAAUUGCAUGUUAGAUUUCUUUUACCACUUUCCUAGAUCAGCAUGCCAUUAGGUCUUUGUGUAACAUCCCAUUUUCGCUAGAUAAUUUGGUUUGAUUUUGUUAUGCAUUUUAUGUGAUUUAAUUAGUUGUUUGGUGUAGUUAUGUAGAAUUAAUUGGAAUUUUAAUUAAUUAUUAGAAUAAAUAGUAUUUUAUUUGAAUUAAUUAAAUAAAAUAUAAAAUGAUAGAAUUAGGUCAAUAUGGAGAACUUGGAGAAAUAAAUGGGAGCAAGGAGUUAGGGAGUUGGGGCAAUAGUGUGAAUUAAGAAAAUUGAGGGUUAAUGAGGUAAUUGGGAAAACGUGUGUAGAAAACCCAAAGUUAUAUUUGAAGGACGAGAGUUUUAUGGAAAACAGAGUUUUAUGGUGAGAAGAGGAAAAUGCUAGGACUAGAGGAAUACUCCAUUGUUAGAGCUUGAAGUUGCAUAUUGCUAGAAAAUCCAAGGUAAGGGGGAGAAAGGGAAUUCAACCUAGGUGUAUUGAAUCAUAUUCAUGUGAAGCCUAAAGAUAUUCUGAACGCUGCUUUCAGAACGAGGUAUGGUCAUUACGAGUAUUCAGUAAUUUUGUUUGGUGUGUCUAAUGUUCCUGAAGUGUUCAUGAAGUACAUGAAUAGAAUAUUCCAUCUGCACUUAGAUUAGUUUGUUAUUGUGUUCAUCAAUGACAUCUUGAUAUUAUUAAAAUUUGAUGAAGAGCAUAUGGAACAUCUGAGGGUUGUAUUAUAGACUUUGAAAGAGAGCCAGUUGUACGCAAGGGUGUCCAUGUGCGAGUUAUGGUUGCGAGAAGUGACUUUCCUUGGUCAAGUAAUUUCGAGUGAUGGUAUUGUUGUUGAUCCAUCAAAGAUAGACGUUGUGUUGUAGUGGGAGACUCCAAAGUCUAUUACGGAGAUUAGAAGUUUUCUUGGGUUGACUGGUUACUACAAGAAGUUCAUUGAAGGUUUUUCAAAGCUAAUGUUGUCGUUGACUCAGUUGACUCAAAAGGGUCAAUCUUAUGUUUGGGAUGUGUAUUGUGAAUAGAGUUUCCAAGAACUCAAGAAGAAGUUAACGUCUGCUCCAGUUUUGAUUUUUCCAAAUCCUAGUGAGUCCUUUGUUGUGUAUUAUGAUGCUUCAAAGAUGGGUCUGAGAGGUGUGUUGAUGCAUAAUGGGUAAGUUAUAGCUUAUGCUUCUAGACAGUUAAGAGUUCCUGAAAGGAAUUAUCCUAUGCAUAACCUUGAGACGUUAUCUAUUCAACUCCAAAUUUAAGAUGUUUAAUGAUCACAAGAGUUUAAAGUAUUUAUUUGAUCAGAAGGAAUUGAAUAUGUGGCAGAGAAGAUGGCUUGAGUUUAUGAAAGAUUGUAAUUUUGGCUUAAUUUAUCAUUUGGGUAAAGCUAACGUUGUAGCUGAUGCAUUGAGUAUGAAGUCAUUCCGCAUGUCGACGUUGAUGGUCAGAAAGUUGGAAUUGAUUGAGAAGUUCAGAGAUAUGAGUUUGGUAUGUGAAAAGACUCCUAAUAAUGUGUAGUUGGGUAUGUUGAAGUUGAUCAGCGGUAUCCUUGAGGAGAUUAAAAAGGGUCAGAGGACUGAUGUGGGAUUUCUUGAGCAGCUUGUGAUAAUCAAUCAAGGUAAGGGUGGUGACUUCAUAAUUGACGAGAACAAUGUGAUGAGGUUCAGAGACAAAGUUUGUGUAUCAUAUGUACCCAAGCUUAAGAAGAGUAUUCUUGAGGAGGGUCAUAGAAGUGGUAUGAGUAUUCAUCCCGGUGCCACUAAGAUGUAUUAAGAUUUGAAGAAAUUGUUUUGGUGGCCAGGAAUGAAAAUGAAGUAAUUGAGUUUGUCUAUUCUUGUUUAGCUUGCCAAAAGUUGAAGAUUGCAUAUCAGGAAUCGUUAGGUCUGAUGCAACUGUCAUACCCUAAAUUUUCACCCCACCUAAAGUCAUUCAUCUGCAUUUCAGUCGUCUGUAUUCACUCAUUUUUGCCCAUUCAUUUGCAUUCAUGUUCACUAAUAUCUCAUGUUGCAUCAUUUCUCAUGACCAUUAAAUAAGGUUUUUACUUCCAUAAGAAACUCAGAAUUCAUUAAUCAAGGAUUAGUUAACUUCAAUUGUGUUACUAAGACCAAUGCAUACAUUCCCUUUAUGCAUACAUCUUUCAUUCUCACAAUUUAGGAAAAUUUGUUAAUCUCAUACCAUUUAAAUUUACUAUCUUUGAUCAAUGACAUAUGAGGAAUUAAGUCAUUUAUUUUGGAUAUGAUUGAUCUAUGUAAUAAGGGAAUAAUCUUUGGAGUGACCUUUUUUAUUUAUUUAUUUUUACUUAUUAAUUUCACACAAAAAAUGCGUGUUUAAUAUUUUUUUUACAAAAAAGGAUUCAUGGAAUUACAAGAUCUUGUGCAUAUUGGAAGGAUAUUACAUGAUAUUGUACACGAGGUAAAAUGUCACAAAUCGAGUCCAAAAAAAAACAACAACAACAAGGAACUUGUCUUAUCUUUUUUUGCAAUAGAGAGAUGUUGGAGGGUAUCCCAUUCUUGAACUUCAAAGGGUGUCACCACAGUAAGUAUUGACCCUGCAGUAAAAAGGAAGAAUAAAGUAAGUUUCAAGGAUAAGGAGAUUGAUCUUCAUUACAGUAAAAACACUUUGUAGAAAAUUCAAAUUUAUAUUUUUCAAAAGGGAAAGAGGAUAACCAUCUUUCAGCCUGCAGUGGUUUGAAUACCUCCGAUUGAGCAUUAUCCUGCCUCACUCACAAUUCCACCCAUGUCACAGUAGGUAUUGCAGACUUGCACCAAAUUGGAACGACACAAAAAAACAUCUAAGAAAGUUUCCCAUUUUCAUUACAAUGAAUAAAUUCCAGGAACAUCAUAAAAUCUAGGACACUAAUAUAAAAAAGGAGGGCAACAUUAAAAAAGAGGCAUCAGUCACAAGCAAAAAAACAAUUUUGAUGCAUGAAGGACCCAAAACCAUAUCCGAAAAAUAUCACAGGAAGCACCAUAGUGACAAACUCAUAAGCAGUCCAAAUCCAUAUAAAGAAGAAAAGAUUUGCAAAAGGGAUUGAGAAAGAGAUACCUGAGCCUUGGGUAACUCAUUUCUUGUGGGGUAUUUUUUCAAUUCACUUUUUUAUUCCGUAUGUUAACUCGGACUUCUGUUGUGUUUCUGCUUUCUGGAUUAACUAUUGCUUGUUUCUUUUUGUAAAUUAUCCCAACCUUAUUUUUCCCGAACUACCUUCAGUUUGGCGUUGGGUUAUAAGGGGCCUUGGUUAGGUUAAGGAUUAGGGUUUGUCUAUUUUGCUUCCGAGUGUACUUUUGUAAGCUUUCCAUAUUCGGAUCUUGGUUUCGGUUUUUUUUCCUGCAUUAUAGUAUUUGCAGCUACUGUCUUGAGAGAGGAAGGAGAAGGUUUUUGGAGGGACAUCUCUCUGAGUGUUGUGAGGGCCGCCACCGCGGAAGUAGGAGGGCCGACAUCGAGAUAUCAUGAGAACGAUCGUCGUCACAGAUAUGUGCACCGCAGAAGUUUGAAGGUCUCCGUCGAGGUCGCGUGAAAGGGUCGUCGAUGUAGAAGCAUGCGUUAGCCGUAAAGUUGAGUUCUUCGUCGCGAAGUCGUGAGGCCGGUUCGUGAUUAAGACAUUUGUGUGUUUUUGAUGCCGUUUCUUUAUGGAGGCAGGCGAAUCCAUAACUGCGGCAAGGGAGGUGUCGAGAUCCGAAUAUUGAUUUAGGUUUUGGUUUAGUUUAGGAGAGUUUCUUCCUUUUCCGUUCUGUAAGACCCCAAUUUUGACCCUGAGAUCCCUCAUGAAAUUUUAUCAUAAGCAUUAGCAUUUGGAUCAUGCCUUGGCAUCCUCCUUACCCCUUUUCAUUGGGUUUAUUUCGGGAGAGAUCGCCAAGCACUUUAUGAUUAUAUCAUACUUGUAUUUUAUCAUUUUACUAACCAAAAUACCAAAAAUAUGUCUUUGUAUAUAUCUAACUCUUUUUGUAGGUAGGGCAUGAUCUCAUUGAUUCAUUGAUCACAUCUAGGGUUUGAGACCCUCAUGAACAAAGAGCACAACCAAGAAUUGAUUCAAGAAUGAUUAUGAACAUCAUAUAUGAGUCCCAAUGUUCUCUAAAUGUUAUAUUGAUCAAGUUUGCUUCAAGAGUUUGAGGGUGAUUUGCCUUGGAAACCCUAGUUUGACUGGGUAUCUUGAGUAACUUCUCCAACAAGCUAUCUCACCAAUUGAUCAAAUUUCUCUAGGAACACUUCAAAUUUCAUCAUCCUAUGCAUAUAUUAUCUACCAUGAGCCAAGAAAGUCAAGAGAACUGGAAGUUAGCAAGUUGGUUGAUGGUGGUUGGCCAGAUGGAUUCAUCUGAUCAAAACUGGGUCUCCCUAGACCCUAUCUCCUACAAUUUUCACCAUAUGAAAAUGACUCCAAGAGAAAAUGUACUCUAAAUGACAUUAUAAACAACUUUCAUGUUGAUACCUAGAGCUAGUUUUGCUUGGAAAAUCAUUUUCUAUGUUGAAACAUUAUAGGUCAUUUUGUCUAAACCAUAAUUUGAAAGUCAACUUCCCAAGGCCAUAACUUGCUCAAUUUUUAUGAUAUGGAAGAUUUCCAAGUUGAAAAAUCAAAUUCAAUGUGUGCACUUCAACUUUGAUGUUUGGAGUGGGAGAUAAUUCAACUUUUUUGAGCAUGUGAUAUAAGGCUACAUUAUAGUUCACUUUUGACCUAUACCAUUGAUCAAGUGAUUUUGCUAAACUUUCAAAAAUGCAUAACUCUAUCAUUUCAAAUCCAACUGACAUGAAAUUGGUGACCAUUUUUAAUUUCUUUGAGAGAGAUACAACUUUGAUGAAGACAUGUUUCUCAUUUGAAGCUCCUAUAAAAAUUUAAGCAAGGUGGAAUAUUGAGACAUAUGGCUUGACACUUAGAAAAUUUUUGAUAUGUCAAAUUUUUCCAAACUUCCACCUCAAAUAUCUCCAAGUUACAAGCUUCAAAUGAAAAAGUGUUCAACAUCAAACUUGUUCCUCUUGAUCUCACCUUUCUAGAGAGCUAAAAUUCAUGCAUUUUGGAUGAGAAAUGCAUAGGCUGCGCAUGGCUUAAACAGGCUCAUAUCAUUUGGCAUGGAUCAAUCUUCAAAUGACAAUGCUCAAUUACCUUGCAAUCCAAUCCAUCUCCAAAGCAUCUGAACUUCAUUUUGGACUUUCAAACAAUCAUUUCAUGGGCCUAUGCACGCCCAUGCACCAUGCUUUCAUCAUUUGCCAAUUUUGGAAAGUGAAAGUGAGAAUGCAAAUAUCAUCCAAUUUCUCUAUAAAUUGAAGCCCUUAUGCUCAGAAUUAACACACACACUGCGCCACCUUUGAAUCUCCAUUGAAAACCCUUCACAUUAAGAGCAUAACCCUGAUAAAUUCAGUUGAAUUUGAGCUUGAAUCUCCACUGUUUUGGAAUUCAAUUCUCCAGGAGUCCAUUGCUUAUAAGCCUUUCCAUUCCUCUUCUACAAGUAAUUGAAGUGAAGCCAAGCACAAUUCAGAUCAAGAUCUAGCAAGCUCAGACCUCCAUUAAAGGUAAUUUGUAGAAAAUUUAAUCUCUUCGAUUCUCCUUGUUUCUUGCUCAAUUCCAUUGAUUCUUAUGUUGUCUGAAGUCCUACCAAUGCAGGCAAGGUGUUUGAGUUGUUUUGAGGUCAAAUCGAAGCAACUCAGAUCAUGAACCUCAUUUUUCAAUUCCACAUAUCUCUCAAUAUAGUUGGAAUUGGAAGAAAUGGAGGUGAUAUUCGUGCUCAGUGAUGUUUUCUCUUUAAAAUACAUUUUUCAAUUCCACAUAUCUCUCAAUAUAGUUGGAAUUGGAAGAAAUGGAGGUGAUAUUCGUGCUCAGUGAUGUUUUCUCUUUAAAAUCAUGUCCCUGUUUGAAAUUUUGGUGAUGGUUCAUGUUAACCAGUCCGACGAAGCUCGCCGGAGAAGACAACCGGAGCUCUGGCUCCGGUGAUGAUGUGUCUUUGGUCUAAACGAUGUGAUCUGAUUCUCAUGUUCUAAUCUCAGCCAUUCCUUUUGAUUACUCAUGUUACAGCGCGCUUGACUAAGGUGUUGGUGGAACGCAUGUUAUGGAUCAUCAGAUCUGCCACUUCAAUUAAUGAGGGAGAUCUGAUGGUCCACGUAUUUUAGCAUUUUCUGAAUUUCCAUUUAAUUCCUUUUUUUUUCAAUAAUUCAUAAUAAAUUUUAAUAUUGAUCCAAAAAAUAUGGGACUUUCACCAAAAAAAUUCAAAUAUUUUUCUCUUUCAUAUUAUCAAUUAAAAUUACUUUUUGGAUCAUUAUUAAUAUUUUUCAUGAAUUAAUUGAUUUUUCUUUUGUUUUUAAUUGUUUAAAAAUAUUUUUAAGUGUCCAAAAAUUAUGUAAUUUUUUAUCCAAGGUCCUUUGACCUUGUUUGACCUAUGAUAAAUCACAUGGCCAUUUAUUUGGUGUUUUGAUGUAAUUUUAGGAUUUGGACAAAACAUAUUUGAAUUUAAUACAUUAUUUUAAUAUUUUUAAUUGAAUAAAUGUCAUUUUAAUUGUGUUGACCAUUUGGAUUGACUUAUUUGAGUUUCUGAUUUGUUGUUGGGCCUUGGUCAAGGUUGAUUUGACUUUGUCAAGUUAAUAUUAUUGGAUUUAGGGGAUUGAUGGAAUGUACAUUCCAUCUCCCAAAAUGAACGAAUAAUAUUAAUUUGGUAAAAGUCCUCCUUUGACCAAUUUGUGAUCUCAUUCAUCCCUUUCCCUCUUCAUCUAAUUCCCCUUCUUCAUCCAUUCAUUUCAAUUGGCCAAUGACAUCUCAAAGUCCUAUCAUUCAUCCCUUUCCCUCUUCAUCUAAUUCCCCUUCUUCAUCCAUUCAUUUCAAUUGGCCAAUGACAUCUCAAAGUCCUAAUGCUAGUUGAUUGAAAGAUUAACAUGAGUAUGGAUGAGAUUAGGCGACACCUUUGCAUAUUUUUUUGUGUGUGGUAUGUUUAAUGAGCAUAGUUCUUAAUACUAUGUCUCCAACAUGCAUAACACCAAAAGUUUAUUGCCCGGCCUCAAAUAGUUGUGACUUCAACAUAAGUCCAAUUACGAUUGCUUAACAUAGCACUAAAUUUGUGAUACAAAAGGCAUAAGCAUUCUAGUUAGUGAGAUAGUAAGUCUCCCCUCUUCCAUGGUACUAUGUGGAAACUUGGCCUUCUUUCCUUCCUUUGGAAGACGUUUUGGUUUAAGGAUACAUGAUUGUGGCAAUUGGGUUGAGUGUUCUCCAAAGAAUGUCUUGAAAUUAAAAAGCAAAACAAAACUAACCAUUAACUUUUACUUUCAAGCUUUUACUUUUAAUGCAAUUUACUUUUAUUGUUCUAUUAUCAUUUGUCAUUGUAUAUAUCAUUCUAAUUGUUUAUGUUUAUGCAAUUUUCACUUUGUCCACAUGGACCAUAUUGUGUGAUAUACUUUGUUGCUUUGUUUGUUUGAGUGGUCUUUGACCAUUAAUGCACAUAAUAAUAACAAAAACCCUAAAAGACUUUAAAUGGAUUGUUGGUUUGAUCUUGCCCCAAUUGGACUUAGGACUUAGGCAACAUUCCUUUGCUAAUGGACUUGGCCAAUGCCAAUUUGUUGAAGAACCAAGAACUUGCAAUUUGAAUUCAUCUGAUACAUCAUUCUAGACCUCUCCAGAUACAUCUGCAACAUUGAUCAUUGCUAAGUUGUUAUGUUGAACCUGUGACUUGUGGAAUUCAUCUGCUACAUAGGCUAUUUUGAAGAAGAUCAUUGAAGUGGAUAAGCUUGGAUGAGGCCACCUUUAUUUGAUGCCUUUUUCUCUUUAAGAUUGAUCUAAUUGUGCAUAUGUGUGUUGCUUAAUUCUAAAAAGUCCAAGGGAAUUCUGGGUUUCUAUUGACAUACUUGUCUAUUCGAUUGCUACCCAUUUGGUCAGAUCUUUUCAAAUUUAAACUUUUAAUUUUUGUGCAUAGGGUAGCCUCUUCAUCUUCUCCCCAUUUCUUUAAUUUCAAAAUCUCUCCCUCCAUUUUCAAAACCUUCUUUGUGUGAACUGUUUUGUUCUAAACUUUGACCACUUUUACAAAAAGGUAGAAACUUUGGCCUUAUGCCAUUGCAUUUUCAAACUUAUUUUCUUAAAUCAACUUGUAAAUAAACUUAACUAUACUUGACUUAAACUUUCAAAGAGCCAAAAAAAACUAACUCAUUCAAACCAUUUUAGGCCUUUGUGCCUUUUAAGCUUAAUUUUUGUUAAAACCAACAUACUCACUUUGAAAUUUCUAGCACGAACUACGAGGUUUUGAUCCCUCAUUUUUAUGUUGGUACGUAGGCACAAGACCGAAGGUCAUACUCACUUUGAAAUUUCUAGCACGAACUACGAGGUUUUGAUCCCUCAUUUUUAUGUUGGUACGUAGGCACAAGACCGAAGGUCUUGUCAAACACAAAAAUAUAAUUAAUGAAUUCUUUUCUCAUCCACUAAUUCUAUUUGUUUGUAAACAUCACUUUGUAUAAAAUACAUAUGCACACAAAAAGGGCUCCCUAGGAGUACCUAAGACACUUUGGGUGCUAACACCUUCCUUCUGUGUAACCAACCCCCUUACCUGUGAUCUCUGAUUUUUCUUAGUUUUUAUUUGAAAACUUCUUACUAUUUGGGUUUUGUUCGUACUUUUUCCCUUUUCCCUUGGAAACAAUAAAAGCGCGGUGGAGACUCUUGUUAAUUGAUCUUUAGCUUAUCAAUAGCUUAAUGAUCAUGAAUUUCCCGCUACACGUUCCUGGGAAGUGUUUGGCUUUGAGUAAGGAAUUUGUUCAGUUUCAGAAGAGGAAGGGAGAAGGAACGUGUGGAAACUGACCUUUUUUUCAUUUGCUUGGAAUCCGUUAGUUUUCUAUUAAGUUCCCAAGGCCAUCAUUAUCGCUUCUUUUUAGUGGCCCUAGGUCUGCAUAAAAAUUGCCAAGGGUCACUUUCCACUUCCCACUUAAUAUCAACUAGCAUUUAAAGCAAGUGGGCAUUCAUUAGCUAUUGUUGUUUGGUUUCCACGUGCAGACAGUUGGGUUAGGGAGGAGGCGGCGGUUUCCUUAAAUUUAGGGUUUCCAAGUGUGGUUACUACCAAGUAGGGUUGGAUCGGGCCUGACCCGCCCCAAGAACCGUAUCCAUUCUUUAUAUGGGCUUCUUACCCACCCACACACGACCCACAUUGUUUUUUUAGUUUAAUUUUUUUUUUAUAGUUUUGUGUAUGUACCCGUGGAUGUAUCCAACUUCCAACCUACCCCUCUUGGCCUAGUGGUUGAAACUUCCCUUGUCUCUCAUGAUGUCCUUGGUUCGAUUCCUGCUUUGACCAUUUUCUUUUUGUUCUCAUUUUAUUUCUUGUAGAUUAAUUAUUCUCUAUAUUUCUUUCUUCGGUGAUUAUUUUAUCUAGGUUAAUUGUUUUUUUGUAUCUCCAUUUAAGUUAAAUUAUUCCAAAACUCCAUCUCUAUUAUUUUUUCUAUUUUUGGGCGUCAAGAUGAAACUUAUAUUUUAUUCUUACAUUUACAAUUAACAUAGUUAGAUUCCCCACAUUAAGCCUUUGUAGAAACUCGCAUUCAGCCUUGUUUAAACUCCUGCUUCGGUUAUUUUAACCUCAAACGUCCACCUACACUUUCUUCCAUUAUUAUCAUUCAAACGUAUUUUUCUCAAUAAAAUCUGAAGAAAAAGAUUACCCUGGAUGGAAUAUCCAGUCGUAAUCCUAAAUAUUAGGCCCAAGUUGUAAGAGCUUGUAAGCCCUAUGUAUUCGUUUUCUCUUCAAAAUAUUUGUAAAUAUUCAAACAUAUUUUUCUCAAUAAAAUCUGAAGAAAAAGAUUACCUGGAUGAAAUAUCCAGGAGUAAUCCCGAAUAUUAGGCCCAAGUUGUAAGAGCUUGUAAGCCCUAUGUAUUCGUCUUCUCUUUAAAAUAUUUGUAAAUAUUCAAACGUCUUUUCUCAAUAAAAUUGAAAGAAAAAGAUUACCUGGAUGAAAUAUCCAGGCGUAGUCCCGAGUAUUAGACCCAAGUUGUAAGAGUUUGCAGGUCAUAAGUACUCGUCUUUCAAACCCAAAAAUACAUCCAACCAAUCAAGCUUUUUUUCGCCGCCGUACGAUCGAUCAGAAAACCCUUUGCAGAAACGAAAGACAUCUUGUCUUAAGAUGAUACAAAGCAAUGCUUCGGCCAUAAUUUUUGAGUUGAGAUAAGUGACAUUUUUCCGAAUGUUGAUUUGUAAAUCCAUUCGAUGUGUGGUAUACAUUCGCUACUCAUCUGUUUUUGGUAAAACAAUGUUUUCGUCGAUUAAUACAAUAUAACUUUAGCUAAAAUCGACCAACAAACAAAUAUUUUUCUACCCAUAACUACAUAAGCCUUGAGUUCUCUAUUGCACCUGGAGAUACGUAGGAGUAGGAUUCGUAAAUCUUGCCAGGCCCAUUAAUAAAAAACUUAGGUUUAGUCCUCAUCGUUGCAAAAUCCAAAAACAUUCUUUUCUCUUUUAUUCUUUCUUUCCCACCUAAUAACUUGAGAAGCCUAACAUUUCAAGCUAACACUAACGCGCACAAUUAACCUAAUGGUUCCCGUUGAGUACAAUGGACGUGAGGGGUGCUAAUACCUUCCCCUUGCGUAAUCGACUCCCGAACCCUGAUUUGGUUGCGACGACCAUAAUCAUUGUCGUUCUUUCUUGGGUUUUAUCGAUAUUUCCCCUUUUCUUUUUAGGAAUAAAUAUAUGUUCGAUGGCGACUCUGUUUAGUCCAUCAUGCGAGCGUGCGAUUGCGCUUCGCUUAAGUCGUGUUCUCAUUUUUCGAGGUGCGACAACAACCAUUGAGUAUUCCAGAGUGGAAGUGGGAUAGCAUUUCCUUGGAUUUCGUGACAAGUUUUCCAAGGAUGACAAAGGCAUGUGAUUCCAUUUGGAUGGUUGUUGAUAGGAUGACUAAAUCGCCUCAUUGUAUACCGCUUAGGAUCAAUUAUACUUUGCAGGUGUUAGUUAAGAUGUAUAUUGAGAAGAUUGUUAGUGUGCAUGGUAUUCUAUUGAGAAUUGUGUCUGAUAGAGAUCUGAGGUCCACGUAGAGUUUUGUAUGAUUUUGCAAGAGGCGUUGGGUACUAAGCUAAGGUUGAGUUCUGUUUAUCAUCUGCACACAGAUAGCCAAAUGGAGAGAAUUAUCCAAUCCUUGAAGGAUAUAUUAAGGGCUUGUGUGCUAGAACAAGAUGGUGUUUGGGAUAUCUACUUGCCACUAAUUGAGUUCACGUACAAUAAUAGUUUCAAUUCAAGUACCGGAAUAGCCUCGUUUAAGGCGUUGUAUGGUAGGAGGUGUAUGAUACCUCUGUAUUUGUAUGAAUAUGGUGAGAGUGUAUUAAUUGGACCUAAGAUUGUGCAACAAACUUCUAAGAAGAUCAAUAUGAUCCAAGAGAAGAUAAAAGCUUUGCAGAGUCACCAGAAGAGUUACCAUGAUAAGAGAAGGAAAACACUUGAGUUCUAAAAGGGAGACCGUGUGUUUUUAAGAGUUAAUCCAGUAAACGGUGUCAGUCGAGCUUUGAAGUCUUGAAAGCUCACACCAUAUUUUGUUGUUCCAUACCAGAUACUGUAGAGGGUAUGAGAGAUG